GACGAACGCUGGCGGCGUGCUUAACACAUGCAAGUCGAACGGAGAUUAUUAAUGAAGCUUGCGAUUUAAUAAUCUUAGUGGCGGACGGGUGAGUAACGCGUGGGCAACCUACCCAUAAGCGGGGGAUAACAGUUGGAAACGACUGCUAAUACCGCAUAAGCUAUUGAGGUCGCAUGACCUAAAUAGUAAAGGUGGCGAAAGCUAUCACUUAUGGAUGGGCCCGCGUCUGAUUAGCUAGUUGGUGGGAUAGCAGCCUACCAAGGCAACGAUCAGUAGCCGGCCUGAGAGGGUGGACGGCCACACUGGGACUGAGACACGGCCCAGACUCCUACGGGAGGCAGCAGUGGGGAAUAUUGCGCAAUGGGGGAAACCCUGACGCAGCGACGCCGCGUGAGCGAAGAAGGCCUUAGGGUCGUAAAGCUCUGUUGUAAGGGACGAAUGUUUAUCUGGCGAACAGUCAGAUAAAGUGACGGUACCUUACCAGCAAGCCCCGGUAACUACGUGACC
RNAcentral lists this ribosomal RNA (507 nucleotides) under uncultured bacterium. RNAcentral's name for it is "bacterial SSU rRNA". It matches the Rfam family "Bacterial small subunit ribosomal RNA", at positions 28 to 510 of the family's 1533-position model. The record is from RNAcentral.